Molecule: non-coding RNA, 166 nt
Organism: Arachis ipaensis
Lineage: Eukaryota; Viridiplantae; Streptophyta; Magnoliopsida; Fabales; Fabaceae
Source: RefSeq, a predicted model, not a curated record
CCUAAUACCUUCGGAGUUUAGUGGGCACUCUAAUAUUACUUUUAGAUCAAGACUAUACUCUAAGAAAAUGCAUGAAAUGCCACUUUGAUUCUAGACAUAUUAUGUUUCAAUACAAGGUUAAGGGGCCAAUGCUUCAUCUAUCCUUCAAGCCUAAACAACUUCUACU